AGAACGAACGCUGGCGGCAGGCUUAACACAUGCAAGUCGAGCGCCCCGCAAGGGGAGCGGCAGACGGGUGAGUAACGCGUGGGAACAUACCCUCCGGUUCGGAAUAGCUCAGGGAAACUUGGAUUAAUACCGGAUACGGCCUAGCGGCGAAAGAUUCAUCGCCGGAGGAUUGGCCCGCGUCUGAUUAGCUAGUUGGUAGGGUAAUGGCCCACCAAGGCGACGAUCAGUAGCUGGUCUGAGAGGAUGAUCAGCCACAUUGGGACUGAGACACGGCCCAAACUCCUACGGGAGGCAGCAGUGGGGAAUAUUGGACAAUGGGCGCAAGCCUGAUCCAGCCAUGCCGCGUGAGUGAUGACGGCCUUAGGGUUGUAAAGCUCUUUCGCUAGGGACGAUAAUGACGGUACCUAGACAAGAAGCCCGGCUAACUUCGCGCCAGCAGCCGC
This 443-nucleotide ribosomal RNA is filed under the name uncultured bacterium. Its description in RNAcentral is "SSU rRNA". It matches the Rfam family "Bacterial small subunit ribosomal RNA", at positions 26 to 518 of the family's 1533-position model. The record is from RNAcentral.